Molecule: non-coding RNA, 79 nt
Organism: Phthorimaea operculella (potato tuberworm)
Lineage: Eukaryota; Metazoa; Arthropoda; Insecta; Lepidoptera; Gelechiidae
Source: the annotation of a GenBank genome assembly
GCAUCGAUAGCUCAGUGGCAGAGCGGUGGAGCGUUUACCCAUGCGCUAUGCUGCCCGGGUUCGAUCCCCGGUCGAUGCA